This is a long non-coding RNA of Alligator mississippiensis (American alligator), 1846 nucleotides long. RefSeq lists it as uncharacterized. Lineage: Eukaryota; Metazoa; Chordata; Crocodylia; Alligatoridae. The record is from RefSeq and is a predicted model, not a curated record. The transcript is spliced from 3 exons.
CACCUCCCAGCUCCAGUUCGGGCACCAGCAGCAGGAGGAGCAGGACCCCAGUGCAGCCCCUGGUCUGGGCAGCUGCUGCACUCGGAGCUGGGCCUGGCAGAGGCCCCACGGGUGAGCAGCUGCCAAGCCAGGGUCAGCACCAGCUCCAAGCCCCCCCUUUCCAGCACAGGCACCAGCUCCAGGCAAUGAGCACUCCAUCCUGGAGACUUGGCACCGGUGCUUCUGGGGCUUCCUCUACCAGGUGGCCGAGGGGCCGCAGGAGGUGUGCAGCCGCCUGCGGGAGCUGUGCCGGGGCUGGCUGGAGCCGCAGCACCGCAGCAAGGAGCAGAUGCUGGAGCUGGUGGUGCUGGAGCAGUUCCUGGCCAUCCUGCCCCAGGAGAUGCAGAGCUGGGAGUGGGGGCACAGCGUGGAAACCUGCGCCGAGGCGGUGGCCCUGGCUGGGGGGUUUGAGCUGGGGCCAGUGGAGGACGAGGCACUUCAGGUGACAGCGUUUCCCCCCCCCGACAUCAAUGCUGCCUCCCCGUCUCCAUGUGUCUGGGGAUGUUCCCUCCCACUCCCAUCUCUCCUAGCUCCCAGAGACUGUGGUUGUCUUGUCCCCAGGUCACAGUGCGCGUGAAGGUCCAAGACGUGGCCUCGGACAAGAUGGCAAGUGCUGGGGCAUUACGGGACCCUCAACUCCUGGCCGGAGCAGCUGCAGCUGGAUCCUGAGCACCUGCCCCAGGAGGAGGCAGGAUGGGGUGAAGCCCCAGGGCUCCUGAAUGAGCCACGUCAUGUCCCCAAAGACAAACUCUGGCCAUUGCAGGGCUCAGGGGUCUGGAUGCUGAACAGAGAGGAGGAGCAGCCUUUGGUGGAAACGUCGGCCAACUUGGACCUCCCAAGGCAAUUAGUUAGGAAGGACGCCUGAAGACCUGAGCAGGAUCAAGUGUGCAAGAGGCUGCACCAACACAAAGGGAGAACAUGGCUUCAGCCACCCCUCCCAGCUCGCCCAGCACCAGCCCAUCCUCUCCGGGGAGAAGUGAUACCAGUGCCCGGGAUGCGGGAAGGGCUUCACCUGCCUCUCUUACCUGACUCUGCACCAGCUCAUCCACUCAAGGGAGAAGACCCAUUGGUGUGGAGCAUGUGGGAAAGGUUUCACCUGCUCCUCCUACCCGGCAUUGGCGCGUCCACACACAGGGACAACUGUAACACUUCUGUCAGCAUAGGAAGGGUUCAGGUGUUCCUGCAGUCCACAGUUGUUUCUCGAUUCAAGGAUGAUCUCGACCGUGGCUCACUGAUGGGUCUCGAGGUGCUGAUGCCGUGUACACACAUUCAGAUAAUAUGGGAGAGUUCUCCCAGGUUUGUUCUCCUGGUAGAAAAACUUACCCAGAGUCACAUGUGCUGACAUUUGAGUGCUGAGGCCCUAAAGAGGAGAGAGCUUGCAGUGCUGACAUUGUGCAGCCAGGGUGGGGGGCCUGUGCCUAUCGGGGCAUCUCAUUCUCUGCCCGUGCCCAGUGUUGACCUCCAGUUCUUUGCUGCCCUUCUCGUCGCCCUAUCUGCCUGGCGUGGCAGUAGUUGCGAAGCUACCCCCACUGAAGGCAGUGUGCAAGGUGAGGAACACAGCAUGGCUCCAUGAAAUGGCCGAUGAACAUGCCUGUUAUUUCCAAGAGACUCUGGAGGUGGCUCAGGGGACACCGUUUUGUUUCUCACCCUCUCGGAGGAUGAUAUCUGAGGCUGUUGGGAAUCACUAAGGCAGAGACAACAGCCACCAGAACAACGCUAUGUACCGGAAAGACGUUUAUUUAAUUUUUUUUUAAAUCACGGGUGUUUUCUAUGUUUCCUGUGAACAAUACAGAUCUCCACACCCCGA